Molecule: ribosomal RNA, 736 nt
Filed under: uncultured Glomeromycotina
Lineage: Eukaryota; Fungi; Glomeromycota
Description: eukaryotic LSU rRNA
Rfam family: Eukaryotic large subunit ribosomal RNA
Source: RNAcentral
UGCAUAUCAAUAAGCGGAGGAAAAGAAACUAACAAGGAUUCCCCUAGUAACGGCGAGUGAAGAGGGAAGAGCUCAAAUUUUAAAUCUAUUACGUUGUACGUGAUCGAAUUGUAAUUUGAAGAAGCGUUUUCUCGUUCCACGAUCAGUAGAAGUUCUCUUGGAACAGGACAUCAUAGAGGGUGAUAAUCCCGUGUGUUAUUGAUCGUGAGUUCGUCAUACGAUACGCUUUCAAAGAGUCGAGUUGUUUGGGAUUGCAGCUCUAAUUGGGUGGUAAACAUCACCUAAGGCUAAAUAUUUGCGAGAGACCGAUAGCGAACAAGUACCGUGAGGGAAAGAUGAAAAGAACUUUGAAAAGAGAGUUAAAAAGUAUGUGAAAUUGUUGAAAGGGAAACGAUUGAAGUCAGUCGUGCAGUCAUCAAUUCAACGCCAAGAUAGCAGAAGUGACGCGGGUGGCGAGUGUCAAAACCGCCAUCCCGUUACUUCACCUAUCUUGGCGCGUACUUUGUUGUCUGCUGGUUAGCAUCAAUUUUGAUUGUCAUAAAAAGGUUGAGGGGAUGUGGCUCCUUCGGGAGUGUUAUAACCCUUAACGGAAUGUGGCGAUUGGGAUUGAGGUUUGCAACGGAUACCUUUCCGUCUGGUCUCUUGUUGACGUUCAGAUAGCAACAGCUUGCUUUUGUUGUUUGAAUAGUUCGCAAAUAGAUUGGAAUGUGAAUAAUUCGUUAAGGAUGUUGACGUA